UACGAAGGGUGCAAGCGUUACUCGGAAUUACUGGGCGUAAAGGGUGCGUAGGUGGUCGUUUAAGUCCGUUGUGAAAUCCCUGGGCUCAACCUGGGAAUGGCAAUGGAUACUGGCAGGCUAGAGUGCGGUAGAGGGUAGUGGAAUUCCCGGUGUAGCGGUGAAAUGCGUAGAGAUCGGGAGGAACACCAGUGGCGAAGGCGGCUCACUGGUCCGGUACUGACGCUGAGGUGCGAAAGCGUGGGGAGCAAACAGG
Molecule: ribosomal RNA, 253 nt
Filed under: uncultured bacterium
Lineage: Bacteria
Description: partial 16S ribosomal RNA
Rfam family: Bacterial small subunit ribosomal RNA
Source: RNAcentral